RNAcentral lists this ribosomal RNA (514 nucleotides) under uncultured bacterium. RNAcentral describes it as "bacterial SSU rRNA". It matches the Rfam family "Bacterial small subunit ribosomal RNA", at positions 8 to 518 of the family's 1533-position model. The record is from RNAcentral.
AGGGUUCGAUCUGGCUCAGGAUGAACGCUAGCUACAGGCUUAACACAUGCAAGUCGAGGGCAGCAUGGAGUAGCAUACUCAGAUGGCGACCGGCGCACGGGUGAGUAACACGUAUCCAACCUGCCGCUUACUCGGGGAUAGCCUUCGAAAGAAAGAUUAAUACCCGAUGGUAUAAAGAGUUCGCAUGUUCUCUUAUUAAAGAAUUUCGGUAAGCGAUGGGGAUGCGUUCCAUUAGAUAGUUGGCGGGGUAACGGCCCACCAAGUCUACGAUGGAUAGGGGGUUCUGAGAGGAAGGUCCCCCACAUUGGAACUGAGACACGGUCCAAACUCCUACGGGAGGCAGCAGUGAGGAAUAUUGGUCAAUGGGCGAGAGUCUGAACCAGCCAGGGUAAGCGUGAAGGAUGACUGCCCUAUGGGUUGUAAACUUCUUUUAUAAGGGAAUAAAGUGAGGGACGUGUCCCUUUUUGUAUGUACCUUAUGAAUAAGGAUCGGCUAACUCCGUGCCAGCAGCCGC